Molecule: transfer RNA, 63 nt
Filed under: Octopus variabilis
Lineage: Eukaryota; Metazoa; Mollusca; Cephalopoda; Octopoda; Octopodidae
Also listed under: 1 other name
Description: tRNA-His
Source: RNAcentral
GUAAAAUUAGUUUAUAUAAAAUACUAGGUUGUGGGCUUAGAGAAAAAAAGGUUUUAUUUUACU